GUAGUUGAUCGUGCUCAGAUAACGCUGGCGGCGCACAUAAGACAUGCAAGUCGAACGGACUUAACUCAUUCUUUUAGUUUGAGAGCGGUUAGUGGCGGACUGGUGAGUAACACGUAAGCAACCUGCCUAUUAGAGGGGAAUAACAGUGAGAAAUCAUUGCUAAUACCGCAUAUGCUAACAGUAUCGCAUGAUACAGUUAGGAAAGGAGCAAUCCGCUAAUAGAUGGGCUUGCGUCUGAUUAGUUAGUUGGUGGGGUAACGGCCUACCAAGACUACGAUCAGUAGCCGGACUGAGAGGUUGAACGGCCACAUUGGGACUGAGAUACGGCCCAGACUCCUACGGGAGGCAGCAGUCGGGAAUAUUGCGCAAUGGAGGAAGCUCUGACGCAGUGACGCCGCGUAUAGGAAGAAGGUUUUCGGAUUGUAAACUAUUGUCGUUAGGGAAGAUAAAAGACUGUACCUAAGGAGGAAGCCCCGGCUAACUAUGUG
RNAcentral lists this ribosomal RNA (488 nucleotides) under uncultured Eubacteriales bacterium. RNAcentral describes it as "bacterial SSU rRNA". It matches the Rfam family "Bacterial small subunit ribosomal RNA", at positions 9 to 507 of the family's 1533-position model. Lineage: Bacteria; Bacillati; Bacillota; Clostridia; Eubacteriales. The record is from RNAcentral.